This is a non-coding RNA of Cyanistes caeruleus (blue tit), 883 nucleotides long. NCBI's taxonomy places the organism in Eukaryota, Metazoa, Chordata, Aves, Passeriformes, Paridae. The record is from RefSeq and is a predicted model, not a curated record.
CUCUCUUUGUCCCCCAGGGCUCAGAGUGGUCUCUGCCCAGGGCCCUGUCUCUCUCUGCUCCUCACUUUUCCUCCUCUGCAGCCGCCUUGUCUAUGGCUGUGGGACCUGAGUGUUAUUAUCUCAAGAGUCAGUCUGUUACAAGCCAGAGAUCUGAGGAUGUGAUCUGAACACUCCACUCCAGCCUUUUCAUUUCUUGUUUAUAUCUUUAUUUUUGUACUGCAGUGUAUGGCAGCCCCUUGUCCCACAGUGACGCCCCCAGCCCUCUACACUCUUGACAUGCAACCAUUUUUUUUUUACCAACUCACCUCGGAGGCUUGAGCUUCCAGCCCUGGAGGAGGGCAGAUGCUCCAUGGAGCCCCUGAGCUGCUGUAGGAGCGGGAGCCCACGGCCCCCUCCUAUGCCUGGUAGUCUGGCUUUCCUUAAUGUCACAGUGGCCCCUGGUGGGGACAUCAGCGAUCAGCCACUGCAGCCUGCGGUCCCUUCCCGAGCACGCUGGAUGCAGAUGGGGACCGAGGUGGUGGCAGCUGUGGAAGGACCAGCCCUUGCCCUUUCACUGUUGCAGGCAACUAGUGUGGGCUUGUGGCCUGGGGACAAAUGCAGAGCCACCAUCCUUUUCUGGGCCUCCUGUAUCACUCGGAGGUGUCUCUGUGCUGGGUAUCACGUUCCUUGGUGCUUCCCUCCCUGUCCCCCAAAGCAGCUCUGUGCCAGCAGUGUGAGAAGGAGAAUGGUGUGCUGCCUGGGUACCAGGAACAUGCUGGUACCUGAUGUUGUGUCAGCCACCACCAAGCAGAUCCCAGUUUUGGGGAGCGGGGCAUUUGCUUCACUGCUGUGUCUGAAGACUCCUGAAUAAAAUUCACAGUCUGUUCCUCCUUGCUGCCUCUCA